RNAcentral lists this long non-coding RNA (285 nucleotides) under Prunus persica (peach). Its description in RNAcentral is "long non-coding RNA (PPER_LNC003500)". The record is from RNAcentral. Lineage: Eukaryota; Viridiplantae; Streptophyta; Magnoliopsida; Rosales; Rosaceae.
GGGAGUUCAGUAGAAGGGGGUUCUACUGAGGGAGUUCCGCGAAAGGAAGUUCCGUCGAGGGAGUUCCACUGAGGUAAGUUCCGCAGAAGGGUGUUCCGCCAAGGGAGUUCCAUGAAGGGAGUUCCACCAAGGUAGUUCUGGUGAAGAGAGUUCUGCUAUGGAUGUUCCUUACCGAAGUCGAGUCCCAUGCUCGAGGUUCCUCGUUGCAAUCUGUGACCAAGCGACCAUCACCCAUCGAGGUUCCUCGCAUACGCCAAGUCUCAUUCUUGAGUUUCUUCGUUGCUA